UACGUAGGGUGCGAGCGUUGUCCGGAAUUAUUGGGCGUAAAGAGCUUGUAGGAGGUUUGUCGCGUCUGCUGUGAAAAUCCAGGGCUCAACCCCGGACUUGCAGUGGGUACGGGCAGACUAGAGUGUGGUAGGGGAGACUGGAAUUCCUGGUGUAGCGGUGAAAUGCGCAGAUAUCAGGAGGAACACCGAUGGCGAAGGCAGGUCUCUGGGCCACUACUGACGCUGAGAAGCGAAAGCAUGGGGAGCGAACAGGAUUAGAUA
Molecule: ribosomal RNA, 261 nt
Filed under: uncultured prokaryote
Description: partial 16S ribosomal RNA
Rfam family: Bacterial small subunit ribosomal RNA
Source: RNAcentral